Molecule: long non-coding RNA, 733 nt
Filed under: Anas platyrhynchos platyrhynchos (common mallard)
Lineage: Eukaryota; Metazoa; Chordata; Aves; Anseriformes; Anatidae
Description: lncRNA (ENSAPLG00000024080.1)
Source: RNAcentral
AUGGGCAGCGGGGGCGAGCAGCGCGGCCUCGCUCUGCGGCCGUCGUGCGGGACUGAGCCGGGGCCGCCCUCGCCGGCCCUAAGAGGCUGCCCCCGGGCCGGACACUGCGCUCCCGAGAAGGGAGGAGCCGCGCUGGGGGCCCCAGCUGAGCGGGGACAACCCCGCUCCGCUCUCAGUGCGGCUCAGCCUCGAGGCGAGGGGCCGAGCAGCUCGGCUCUGCUGCGGGGUGGUGCCCAGCGCCGGGUUCGUGCGCUGAACCGGGAGGCCGGGGAGGCAAAGCUGCCCCUGCUGCUGCAGCCACCCGUGGAGCUGCCUGUGUGCUCCGCAGCUCGAUCGAAGGGACUUUUUAACCUUCCCUCUGGCAAACUGGGUGUCACAUUCCGAUCGUGGUGUCAUUGCUUCUCAGCACGCAGACAACACCGCUUGCUUUUACAUCACUUUUCUUUGCUGCUACAUUCCAGUAUUAUUACAUUUCAGUAUGCCACACCCAUUGGAUCCCACUGAGACUGACUGGAUAAAGAAGUAGAGAGGAGAAAAAGAGACAGUUGGGGUUCUGUCGGUUGGUUGAUUUUUUUUUUUUUUGUGUGUGUGUGUUUUUUUGCUUGUUUUCAACAGGAUUUACCAAGAACUUGUUCACACCAUUUUACUAUUGGAAAGCAGCUUGUAGUUUUGUAGUAAAGGCUAUUUUCACCAAAGAAAUAAAAUGUUUUUGGAUGUGUAUUGAAGUAUGAUU